GAUGAACGCUGACAGAAUGCUUAACACAUGCAAGUCUACUUGAACUUCGGUUUGGCUGGCGGACGGGUGAGUAACGCGUACAGAACUUGCCUCACAGUUAGGGACAACAUUUGGAAACGAAUGCUAAUACCUGAUAUUAUGAUUUUAGGGCAUCCUAAAAUUAUGAAAGCUAUAUGCGCUGUGAGAGAGCUUUGCGUCCCAUUAGCUAGUUGGAGAGGUAACGGCUCACCAAGGCGAUGAUGGGUAGCCGGCCUGAGAGGGUGAACGGCCACAAGGGGACUGAGACACGGCCCUUACUCCUACGGGAGGCAGCAGUGGGGAAUAUUGGACAAUGGACCAAAAGUCUGAUCCAGCAAUUCUGUGUGAACGAUGACGUUUUUCGGAAUGUAAAGUGCUUUCAGUUGGGAAGAAAAAAAUGACGGUACCAACAGAAGAAGUGACGGCUAAAUACGUG
RNAcentral lists this ribosomal RNA (454 nucleotides) under uncultured bacterium. Its description in RNAcentral is "partial 16S ribosomal RNA". It matches the Rfam family "Bacterial small subunit ribosomal RNA", at positions 28 to 507 of the family's 1533-position model. The record is from RNAcentral.